UGGGGGAUAUUGCACAAUGGGCGAAAGCCUGAUGCAGCGACGCCGCGUGGGGGAUGAAGGCCUUCGGGUUGUAAACUUCUUUUGCUCUGAACAAGGCAUGCUAAUGGGUGUGUUGAGUGUAGGGGUUGAUUAGCGCCGGCUAACUACGUGCCAGCAGCCGCGGUAAUACGUCGGGCGCGAGCGUUGUCCGGAAUUAUUGGGCGUAAAGGGCUUGUAGGUGGCUGGUUGCGUCUGUCGUGAAAGCUCAUGGCUUAACUGUGGGUUUGCGGUGGGUACGGGCUGGCUUGAGUGCAGUAGGGGAGGCUGGAAUUCCUGGUGUAGCGGUGGAAUGCGCAGAUAUCAGGAGGAAUACCGGUGGCGAAGGCGGGUCUCUGGGCUGUUACUGACACUGAGGAGCGAAAGCAUGGGGAGCGAACAGG
Molecule: ribosomal RNA, 419 nt
Filed under: bacterium
Lineage: Bacteria
Description: partial 16S ribosomal RNA
Rfam family: Bacterial small subunit ribosomal RNA
Source: RNAcentral